Molecule: long non-coding RNA, 731 nt
Organism: Malaya genurostris
Lineage: Eukaryota; Metazoa; Arthropoda; Insecta; Diptera; Culicidae
Exons: 2
Source: RefSeq, a predicted model, not a curated record
GAUGAUUUUACGUAGUUUUUUAUUUAUUUAUUGAUUUACUUGUAUUUGAUACGUACUAAUUUUCAUUCUAAACAUUUUUUAGAUACAUUUAGUGAGUUUUCCCCAUAUAAGUUCACGGCAAACUCGUCUCAAAGGAGCAUGUACGAGUAUAAUUAGACUUGGAGUCUAAUCUACGGAUUUGACCUCAGGAAAAAGUGGCAUCACUGGUUUGAUUGUUGACGAGUCUACACCGGGUGGCAAAACGUUCAAACGCGUGAAGCAGCAAUCAGCCGUCAUGGACGAACGUAAUUCGGUUGCUACAAAAACGAAAAAUCACGACAGUGAUAUCAAAGAAAUUCUUUUUAAUUACAUCACAAUAAUCGAAAUAGAGAGUGGUUAAAGAGAAACUGUCACUUGCUUAUACGCCCUAAUGAAAAAUCAACCGAGAAUUAAACAAUUUGACAUCUUUGCAUCCAUGCAGAGUGCGCAGCAGAUAUGCCAGGUGGCUGCUUUUCAGCACCGGACCACCAGUUCAGGGUCGUUUACCUUGUUGGUCUCCUGGAGAACCUUCACUUCACUAUUUUUAGGGCGGACUUUUCUUCCCACCUGUGGUCACUGAGCGAAUCGUUUGCGGCGGAAACAAGUUACACAAAAAUAAACAAAAUGGACGACACAGCUUGUAUAUAAAAAGACCGCACAAUUUUAAUCUUAGGCACUAUAUUUUGUAAUAAAAAAAACAAUAGAAUAUUAAA